GUUCCAUUAGAUACAUUUCCAACUGAUUCGUGUGUGUGUGCUCCGUAUCUUGUUGAUGAAAUACCAUGGUUAUCAUGAAGUUUGACGGUGAUUUUGGCGGUCAGGAAUGUAGAAAAAUGUCAUUCACAACUCAAAAAUCUGCUUUAUAUUCAUAUACAAUGUGUAUAAAAGAACUGUACUAUAGUAGCUAAAAUGGUGAAAGUACAGUUUACUUCAAAAUGCGUGGUUCUAACCACAGCUAUGCUUAUAAUAAUCAGGUAAUAUAUAUAUAUAUUAGUGUACAGGUAUAAAGCAAACGUAUGACAAUACGGAAAAUAAAAUAACUAAUACUACCCAAAAUCUUAACCGAUUAAAAUUUCUAC
This 362-nucleotide long non-coding RNA is filed under the name Mytilus galloprovincialis (Mediterranean mussel). The record is from RNAcentral. Lineage: Eukaryota; Metazoa; Mollusca; Bivalvia; Mytilida; Mytilidae.